This 468-nucleotide ribosomal RNA is filed under the name uncultured bacterium. Its description in RNAcentral is "partial 16S ribosomal RNA". It matches the Rfam family "Bacterial small subunit ribosomal RNA", at positions 28 to 507 of the family's 1533-position model. The record is from RNAcentral.
GACGAACGCUGGCGGCGUGCUUAACACAUGCAAGUCGAACGGACAGGCCCUGCUUUUGUGGGGUGCUCGAGUGGCGAACGGGUGAGUAACACGUGAGUAACCUGCCCUUGACUUUGGGAUAACUUCAGGAAACUGGGGCUAAUACCGGAUAGGAGCUCCUGCUGCGUGGUGGGGGUUGGAAAGUUUCGGCGGUUGGGGAUGGACUCGCGGCUUAUCCGCUUGUUGGUGGGGUAGUGGCUUACCAAGGCUUUGACGGGUAGCCGGCCUGAGAGGGUGACCGGCCACAUUGGGACUGAGAUACGGCCCAGACUCCUACGGGAGGCAGCAGUGGGGAAUAUUGCACAAUGGGCGGAAGCCUGAUGCAGCAACGCCGCGUGCGGGAUGACGGCCUUCGGGUUGUAAACCGCUUUCGCCUGUGACGAAGCGUGAGUGACGGUAAUGGGUAAAGAAGCACCGGCUAACUACGUG